GAUGAAGAACGUAGCGAAAUGCGAUAAGUAGUGUGAAUUGCAGAAUUCAGUGAAUCAUCGAAUCUUUGAACGCACAUUGCGCCCCUUGGUACUCCAUGGGGCAUGCCUGUUCGAGCGUCAUUUACACCCUCAAGCUCAGCUUGGUGUUGGGCGUCUGUCCCGCUUCGUGCGCGGACUCGCCUCAAAUGCAUUGGCAGCGGUCUUGCCAGCUUCUCGCGCAGCACAUUGCGCUUCUAGAGGCUUUGGCGGAUCGGCGUCCAUCAAGUACACCCACAGUUUGACCUCGGAUCAGGUAGGGAUACCCGCUGAACUUAAGCAUAUAAUAAGCGGAGGA
This 334-nucleotide unclassified non-coding RNA is filed under the name soil metagenome. RNAcentral describes it as "partial contains 5.8S ribosomal RNA, internal transcribed spacer 2, and large subunit ribosomal RNA". The stretch from base 1 to 120 matches the Rfam family "5.8S ribosomal RNA", at positions 35 to 154 of the family's 154-position model. The record is from RNAcentral.